This 504-nucleotide ribosomal RNA is filed under the name uncultured fungus. Its description in RNAcentral is "eukaryotic LSU rRNA". It matches the Rfam family "Eukaryotic large subunit ribosomal RNA", at positions 104 to 633 of the family's 3401-position model. The record is from RNAcentral. Lineage: Eukaryota; Fungi.
ACAGCUCAAAUUUGAAAUCUGGCGUUUUCAGCGUCCGAGUUGUAAUUUGUAGAGGAUGCUUCUGGGUAGCCACCGGUYUAAGUUCCUUGGAACAGGACGUCAUAGAGGGUGAGAAUCCCGUAUGUGACCGGCCGGCACCCUCCACGUAGCUCCUUMGACGAGUCGAGUUGUUUGGGAAUGCAGCUCUAAAUGGGAGGUAAAUUUCUUCUAAAGCUAAAUAUUGGCCAGAGACCGAUAGCGCACAAGUAGAGUGAUCGAAAGAUGAAAAGCACUUUGGAAAGAGAGUUAAAAAGCACGUGAAAUUGUUGAAAGGGAAGCGCUUGCAACCAGACUUGUYUGCGGUGUUCCGCCGGUCUUCUGACCGGUCUACUCAUCGUAUGCAGGCCAGCAUCAUUUGGGGCCGCUGGAUAAAACMUUAKGAAUGUAGCUCCUCGGAGUGUUAUAGCCUUUGUUAAUACAGCGAGUCCCGAGUGAGGUCCGCGCUUCGGCUAGGAUGCUGGCGUA